UACAGAGGGUGCGAGCGUUGUCCGGAAUCACUGGGCGUAAAGGGCUCGUAGGUGGCCAACUAAGUCAGACGUGAAAUCCCUCGGCUUAACCGGGGAACUGCGUCUGAUACUGGAUGGCUUGAGUUUGGGAGAGGGACGCGGAAUUCCAGGUGUAGCGGUGAAAUGCGUAGAUAUCUGGAGGAACACCGGUGGCGAAGGCGGCGUCCUGGACCAAUACUGACACUGAACAGCGAAAGCCAGGGGAGCAAACGGG
RNAcentral lists this ribosomal RNA (253 nucleotides) under uncultured bacterium. RNAcentral describes it as "partial 16S ribosomal RNA". It matches the Rfam family "Bacterial small subunit ribosomal RNA", at positions 524 to 776 of the family's 1533-position model. The record is from RNAcentral.